AAGAAUGGAGAGCAGUGCAGUGCAAGACGAGCAGAAAACGCAGAGAAAGCGCAGAGAGCAGUAGCGAAUGUAGGCAAAGCCGGGAACCUCGUCCAAAGGAAAUGCGGGUGCUCAACGAAGGUUAUUUUAAAAUUUAAGGAUACUGGUGGUGGGCCGAGGUGAAAUAUUGCUGUCUAGUGGAUGGCAGUAAUACGCUUCGCGUCAUUCAAUCUGCUAUUAAAAUCCAAAAAGAAGGAGAGCGAAGUGGUCACCACAAAGGUUGUACAAGCACACUAUGCCACAAUCAAAGGAAAUUCCAGAAGAGAUGAGGAAAAAAAGCUGUUGAAAUACAUAAGUCUGGAAAGGGUUAUAAAGCCAUUUCUAAGGCUCUGGGACUCCACCGAACCACAGUAAGAGCCAUUAUCUCCAAAUGGAAAAUGCUUGAAACAGUGGAGAAUCUUCCCAGGAGUGGCAGGCCUGCCAAAAUUUCUCCAAGGGUGCAGCAACAACUCAUCCAGGAAGUCACAAAAGAUCCAAGCAGAACGUCCAAAGAACUGCAGGCUUCUCUAGCCUCUGCUAAGAUCAGUGUUCAUGACUCCACAAUAAGAAAGAGACUGGGUAAAAAUGGGUUUUUGUGGGUGAAUAGCAAGGGGGAAACCACUAUUAAGCAAGAGAAACAAUAAUGCUUGUUUCACAUUUGCCAUAAAGCACUUGGAUGGUCCCCAAGCCUUUUGGGAUAAUGUUCUAUGGACCGAUUAGUCAAAAGUGGAGCUUUUUGGAUGACGUUGGUUCCUGGGAUGAAGAACAAAUUCUUCGCUCAAACUUUCAUGUCCACCUUGCUAUGGGGAAUGUGGGGGAGCACGGAGGAUAGGGACGCAAGUGCAUUUAAUUUAAAUGUUUGAAAUGCACAUACUCCAGUUCGUAACAAAAUGAUUUAAUCAACAACUCUGUACUUUCUUCUUAGUUGUGUCUGGGGCGUUCCUGCAGAGGAAAAGAACUGAAAAAAAAUUAUUAUUAUUAAAGGUUAAAGCUAGAGACUCUCCUUAACGUGCUGGAACUCAGUAGGUUAAGGGUUGUGCACUACCAUCACAGAUUUAAUUAGGUAUUAUGCGGAAUGUAGUUUCCAAUUGUUUGAGACAAAAAGGAGUGUUCUUUUAGAGAUUGUUUAUUUUAUCUUGCAACUGUGAUUAAAGAAGAAGAGAACAUAGUGUUGAAAAUGUAUAUAUUGUCAAUAUACAAUGAGCUCCAUAACGUUUUGGGGACACACUUUUUUUUUCUUGAUUUGGUUCGGUACUUCACAAUUUUACAUUUUGUAAUCAGCAUGUAGUUAAAGAGCAGUUCUUACUAAAGGGCAUUUUUAUACAUUUUUGGUUCACCAUGUAGAAAUUGCAGGAUUGUUUAUACAUAGUCCAUGCGACAGCCAAUCAGCAGCGAGACCUUGCAUCUUCCAUGUGAUUGAUAAAAAACAUAUCACAUGAUCACAUGGUAGCUGUAUGAGCUUGCUGCUGAUUGGCUGUCUUAUCAACACCCAAUGGAUAACGGUCUUUAGGUUUUUUCGCAGGACGCAUUUCAGGAAUCCUCUGGAAUGUGGCUGUUUACUACCACAUUAGGUAUAAGUAAAGAGGAAAAGAAAGCCAAUACACAUCCUUUGCACGCAAUGACCACUUGAAGUCUGUGACCCAUAGACAUCGCCAGGUGCUGAGUAUCUUCUCUGGUGAUGCUCUGACAGGCCUGUGCUCCAGCCAUCUUCAGCUUCUGCUUCUUUCGGGAGUUGCCUUAAGGUUUCUCUUCAGCAUGUUUUCAAUUGAAUUCAGAUCAGGGGACUGACUUGGCCACAAUGGCCAGUCAAGAUUUUUACAGUUUUGUCUUUGUUGCUUUAGCAACCUAUUGUAUAUUGGUAAGAUGAAGCGCCACCCAUAAGUUUGAAGGCAUUUGGUUGAACUUCAGCAGAUGAGAUGCUUCUGUGCACUGCUGCUAUCAGCAGUUACAUCAGUGAAAAUAAGUGAGCCAGCACCUGUGGCAACCAUACAUACCCAAACCAUAACACCCCCACAACUAUAUUUCACAGAUGAGACGGGGUGCUUUGGAUCUUGGGCAGUUCCUUUUGGCCUCUGCAUUUUGCUCUCGCCUUUCACUCUGAUAUGAGUUAUUCUUGGCCUUAUCUGUCCACAAGACCUUUUUUCCAGAACUCUGCAGACUUUUAUAAUACUUUUUUGCUAACUGUAAUCCUGUCCAUCCUGUUCUUGUGCCUAACUAGUGGUUUGCAUCUUGCAAUGUAGGCUCUGUAGUUUUGUUCUUAAAGUUUUCAGUAGUCACCAAUGCAUCCAUGCCUGCCUCCUGAAGAGUAUUUCUGAAGAGGGGUUUUUCUUCAUUAUGGGUAGAAUUGGUAUUGAACUGUAGAGGUUUUCCUUGGCCUAACUGGCCCUUUGUAAUUACUGAGCUCACUAGUGCGCUCUUUCUUCUUAAUGAUGUUCCAAACAGCUGAUAUUGGUAAGCCUAAGGAUUGGCUUAUGUUUCUGACUGUUUUUUUCUUCUUAUUUCUAGGCAAAUCAGAGAAACAAAAAUAUGUUUGUGUCCCAAACAUUAUGGAGCUCACUGUACAUGCAAAUGUAGAGAAUUUCCAGUUUAUUGAAUUUGAUAGUUUUUUAUUAUUGUAACUAGGGAUCAGAUUAGUUCAGUGAUGAGGUAACGCUACUAAAGGGUCUAAGUUACCCUCAUUCUGGGAGCAGGCUGUGUAAAGAACCAUUGUGAAGCUUUUGAUUAUGGUGGUGGUUGGGUGAUGGUGUGGGGACGCUUUGCUGCAUCGGGACCUGGCUGGUUUUUAAUUACUGAAGGAACAAUGAAUUCUGCUCUGUUCCAGAAACCUUUUAAGGAAAAUGUCUGGUCAUCAUUCCAUGAGCUUUAGCUGAAGCGUAAUAAAUGGUUGAAAUGAAACAAAAUGGACGUUUUGGAGUACCUUAGUCAAAGUCCUGACCUGAACCUAAUAGAGGUGUUGUGGCAGUACCAGAAACAAGCAGUCCAUACUCAAAAACCUACCAAUUUGUCUGAAUUAAAGCUGUUCUGCAAUGAAAAGUGGCUUAAAAUUCCUCCGCAGAAAUGUGAAAGACUAUAAAUUUAUAGAAAGUGUUUGGUUACAAUUA
This is a long non-coding RNA of Anguilla rostrata (American eel), 3119 nucleotides long. RefSeq lists it as uncharacterized. The record is from RefSeq and is a predicted model, not a curated record. The transcript is spliced from 2 exons. Lineage: Eukaryota; Metazoa; Chordata; Actinopteri; Anguilliformes; Anguillidae.